GACGAACGCUGGCGGCGUGCCUAAUACAUGCAAGUCGAACGCAGUGGGGACGGGUGAGUAACCCGUGGGUAACCUCCCAUCAGAGGGGAUAACACUUGGAAACAGGUGCUAAACCGAUACUGAUGGAUGGACGCGCGGUGCAUUAGCUAGUUGGUGGGGUAACGGCUCACCAAGGCCACGAUGCAUAGCCGGCCUGAGAGGGUGACCAGCCACACUGGAACUGAGACACGGCCCAGACUCCUACGGGAGGCAGCAGUAGGGAAUCUUGGGCAAUGGGCGAAAGCCUGACCGAGCAAUGCCGCGUGAGUGAAGAAGGUUUUCGGAUCGUAAAGCUCUGUUGUUGGGGAAGCGGUAUCUAACCAGGAAGCCACGGCUAACUACGUGCCAGCAGCCGCGGUAAUAC
RNAcentral lists this ribosomal RNA (403 nucleotides) under uncultured bacterium. RNAcentral's name for it is "partial 16S ribosomal RNA". It matches the Rfam family "Bacterial small subunit ribosomal RNA", at positions 28 to 526 of the family's 1533-position model. The record is from RNAcentral.